AGAACGACUCUCGGCAACGGAUAUCUCGGCUCUCGCAUCGAUGAAGAACGUAGCGAAAUGCGAUACUUGGUGUGAAUUGCAGAAUCCCGUGAACCAUCGAGUCUUUGAACGCAAGUUGCGCCCGAGGCCUACCGGCCGAGGGCACGCCUGUCUGGGCGUCACGC
This 164-nucleotide ribosomal RNA is filed under the name Calligonum mongolicum. Its description in RNAcentral is "5.8S ribosomal RNA". It matches the Rfam family "5.8S ribosomal RNA". Rfam says of the family: 5.8S ribosomal RNA (5.8S rRNA) is a component of the large subunit of the eukaryotic ribosome. Lineage: Eukaryota; Viridiplantae; Streptophyta; Magnoliopsida; Caryophyllales; Polygonaceae. RNAcentral also lists the same sequence under 1 other name. The record is from RNAcentral.